RNAcentral lists this ribosomal RNA (168 nucleotides) under uncultured bacterium. Its description in RNAcentral is "partial 16S ribosomal RNA". It matches the Rfam family "Bacterial small subunit ribosomal RNA", at positions 1334 to 1500 of the family's 1533-position model. The record is from RNAcentral.
GCUAGUAAUGGCAGGUCAGCAUACUGCCGUGAAUACGUUCCCGGGCCUUGUACACACCGCCCGUCACACCAUGAGAGUUGGGGAUACCCGAAGCCUGUGAGCCAACUUUUUAAGAGGCAGCAGUCGAAGGUAGAAUCAAUGAUUGGGGUGAAGUCGUAACAAGGUAAC